Molecule: non-coding RNA, 612 nt
Organism: Passer domesticus (house sparrow)
Lineage: Eukaryota; Metazoa; Chordata; Aves; Passeriformes; Passeridae
Source: the annotation of a RefSeq genome assembly
AUGCGGCGGGCUCGGGGCGCGGCGCUGCCGGCACUGGCCGCGCUGAUCUUCGUGGCUGCUGUCAAAGCCCAAGUGGAGCAGGAGCCAUUCCUGGAGACCGUUGAAGGCACCAGCAUCAGAAUCAAGUGCUCUCACCCCAAUAUCCGGAUGGGCGAUUUCAUUCACUGGUAUCGUCAGCUGCCGGGCAAAGGGCCCGAACUCGUGGUGUUCACUGCUAAAGUGUCCAAGGAGGUGCGAUCCCCUGAAGGGCGCCUGACGGUGUCGGCAGAUCGGCGCUCGAGCGCGCUGUGGCUCGGGCGGCCCCGGCGCGGGGACGCGGCCGUGUAUUACUGCGCGCUGGGGCCACGGGCAGAGGAGCCGGGGCUGCGGCCGGGCACGAACCGCCGCGGGCGGGGCCGGGCGGGGCCAGCAGGGGGCGCUGCCGCUCCGCCCGCCGGGGCCGCCUCGCCCCGCUCGGCCCGGGCUGCGGCACCGGGACCGGCACCGGAACCGGGAGAGCAGCAGGUGUUGGACUUGGCAGAGUCAACUUCUGCAUCUCAUGUUCCCAAGGCUCCAGUGUGGCUGGGGGAAGAGCGAUCAGAGUUUGCUGAGAGUGGGAGAUGUCCACCUUGA